Long non-coding RNA from Benincasa hispida (wax gourd), 1851 nucleotides. RefSeq lists it as uncharacterized. Lineage: Eukaryota; Viridiplantae; Streptophyta; Magnoliopsida; Cucurbitales; Cucurbitaceae. The record is from RefSeq and is a predicted model, not a curated record.
AACGAUGCAACCCACACCCUUUUCCUCUUUCUCCCCUUAACCUCUCUCCCACCUCCUUCUCUUCUUCCUCCACUUUCUUCCUCAAACCAACUUCCAUCGUUGUCUCCAUCACCACUGUCGCAGCCUUCGACUUCUUCUCUCUCUUCGUCGUAGCCGCCUCGCCAUUUCUUUUGACGAGCUCCAUCGCCUCCUCACUGCAAAAGAACCCGACAUCUUCUGAUCGCCCUCGCCAGCGAUGGCGCCCAGAAACGAGGUGUGUCAAUGUAUCGCUGUCGAUGACUUGAAAGCCAUUAAUGAUCUGCGGCUAAAACAUAGACACCUUAAACGCUUUUACCCACUCCAGAUUUAUUUUAGAAGAGAGAGCAAAGAUAACUUCAAUCAUAUCUUUGUAUCAAUUGCAGAAGUUUAAGACACACUUUAAUGGGAUCUUUCCUUUGAGAUUUUCCCCCCUCCCUCUUAACCCAGUGUAGACAAUUCAAAUUCAAUGAAUUUCUUGGACUUGCAUUGGUAACUACUUUGGGACUUGAUACAAAGUGUCUGAAUUGAAUUUUAAGGUUGUUUAUUUUAUUGUUUGAGAUUGAAGUCUCAGGUCUAUUUUCUUUAAUGCGGGUUAAAUCGAACCAUCUUGCUAAUUAAUUGAAGUCGAAUCCUGGUCGAGUCAGGUUUGUUUAUUUUACCAUUUGUCAAAUUAAAUUUUGCUGCUUAGUCGAGGUUGAAGCCUUGUUAGACCAUGUCUAUUUUCUUUAAUGUUGGUUAAAUCGAACUAGCUUGCGCCUAAUUAACUGAGGUCGAAGCCUGGUCGAGUCAAGUCUGUUUAGUUUACUGUUUGUCAAAUUAAACCUUGUUGCUUAGUUGAGGUUGAAGCCUUGUUAGGCCAUGUCCAUUUUCUUUAAUGAGGGUUAAAUCGAAUCAACUUGCUAAUUAGUUGAAGUCGAAGCUUGGUCGAGUCAGGUUCGUUUAUUUUAGGAUUUGUCAAAUUGAACACAAUUCAAGAUUGAAGUUUAAUGCUUGGUCAAGUCUGGUCCUUUUACUUUUCAUGUCGGUUAAAUCGAACACAAUUCAAAAUUGUGGUUUGAAGCCUAUUUAAGUCAAAUCCGUUUACUUGGUUAAAUAAACAUAAUUCAAGAUUGGUAUUUGAACCUAUUUAAGUCAGGUCUAUUAAUUUUUCUUACUACUUAAAUCAAACACAAUUCAAGAUUGGAGUUUGAUGCUUAGUCAAGUCAAGUCCAUUUACUUUUCUUGUUGUUUAUAUCCAACACAUUGGUGUUCGAAGAAAAAACAACCUUUUUAUUAAGUCAGUUCCAUUACUUUUUCAAAAUAAACUUCACCUCCCGAAUACCAUGUCUUCUACCUUUGUCAACUCUUUCAAUCCUUCAAGUAUACACAAAAGGGGCAAACUGUUGACACAAUAUUUGCUCCAACUCGAUUCUAUUUAUUUUCGAUAACUUCAGAUUUUUUAAAAGGUUCUAAAAAAAAGUAAAAUAUAUUUUUCUUGAUUUUUUUUAAAGAUUAAAAUAUUGAAAAAUUUUCCCCUUUUCCAGUCUUCCUUCUUUCCCGUUUCUCUCCUUUCAUUCCUCUUCUUUCCCUCAUUUUCUCACUUCCCCUUUCUUCACUCUCCAAUUUUCUCACACUUUAUACUCACUUUUGAGCUAAUUUUAGGCCACUUUUAUCACUAUAAAUAUAGAAAGUGAGGACAUAAUAUGGAAACAAAAAAAGAACACUUGAAAAAGAGAUUUAGGUGAAGAGAAGGGGAUUGACUAUUGAGAAAAAAAAAAAAAAAAAUACACAGGGGAGGAAACAUAGUGAGGAAUAAGUGAAAAAGAGAGACUUCGGCGAGCCUUCCAUCAACAA